ACAAAACUAGUCGUGGUUCACAACAUUUCUUCCUUCUCCAUUUUCAGCACCACGAUGCUCUCUCGUCUCCUCCCCAAACCCUCACAUUUCUCUCUCCUCAGAAUUCCACCCAUGUCCCAAAUCCCCAAUUCUCCUCCCCCACUCCAAAACCCUACUUUCACCACCUUCGUCCCUAGAUUCUUCUCCACUGACGGCGACGGCAACGGUCGAUCCCCGUCCGACGUGUGGAAGCUUUCCAAGGAAUCUGAUGACAAGUUCGAUCCUUUGUUCGGGGACAGCUCCGGUGACGUCUCCUGGACAGUCGAGGCUGAUUCGUGGACGGAUUCGAAGGGCUGAUUAAUCAUGGAAGACCCCAUCAGUGAUUUGGCUAAGUUUGUAUCUGGAGAAUUCUGUGUUAGACUGGAGGACAGUGCUUCACUCAACAUUAUGGGCAGGACACGCCAUUUUUCAUUUAUGAAAGCAAAGGAUUUGUGACUAUGAGAAGUUUGAGGCUUUAUAUGAAGCUAAUUGUUUGCACACCUUCUAUAGAGAUUGUCGUGCUCUUACUCAAUUGCCCACCAGCUUGGCUAGGGUGAUAAACUUGCACCAUCUUAUAUCCGAAAUACAAAGUUAGGGAGGAUGCCACGGGAAAAUUGAAAGAUCUUCAAACGUUAUGUGACUUUGUGUUGGGAAAGAAUUCAGAGAUUGGUUGUACAGAGAGUUAAAAAGUUUUGGCAUUUGCGAGAAGUUCUUUAUAUUUCAGGGCUUCAUCAGAUUGUCUAUGUCGAAGAUGCUUUGGAGGCCAAUAUGCAUCAGGGAGAAGAAGAAGUGCUAGUUAGAAAACUAAGAAUUCUCAUGAUUCGUUCAAGCUUUCCUAGUUGGUUAGCAAAUCAUUCUUUCCAGUUGGCUUGUCUUCGACUAUCCGAUUGUUUAAGUUCUUGCUUUUUGCGACCGCUGGAGCAGCUACCCUUCCUCCGGGACCUUCAUGUUAUUGGGCUAAAUGGUUUACUUUAAAUAGGUCCUCCGUUUUACGGCGAUGAUAUAUGUGUUGUUACGCCAUUUAGACAUCUGAAAGUUGUGAAAUUCUGCAACAUGUUAAAUUGGCAGGAGUGGUCUUAUGUUGGAGUUGGAGGUAAUGAGAAAGGUGGAGCUUUUCCUAAACUUUGUGAGCUACAUUCGUUGGGUUCUCCCAUGCUAAUUGGAAGUUUACAAUUAGACUACUUCUCAAAGAUUGAACGGCUUAAACCAAUGCAUUGUAAUCUAAAUCCGUUGCUAUUUCUCAAGACCCUGAACUUCUAUCCUUUAGUAGCUUGGACAUUUCUGACUGCCCAAAUUUGGUAUCUUUUCCUGAUGGAGGACUGCAUGCACCAAAGCUGAAAGACAUAUAUCCAUAAAUGCAAGAAGCUGAGAUCACUGCCAGACGACAUGCACAGCCUCCUUCCAUUGCUUAAGCACUUGUCUAUAACCGAUUGUCCAGAGCUUUAAUCAUUUCCAGAGGGAUUGCCUUUAUAAUUACAAUCUCUUGGCAUUCAAUCUUUCAAAAAGCUUAUUGCAAAUCGUAUGUAGUGGGGUUUACACAGACUGACCUGCCACAUAAGCUUGAGAAUUGACUUCAGAGAAUGUGAAGGCAUAGAUUCAUAGAUUCAUUUCCGGAGGAGGCACUGCUGCCUACUGCUCUCACUUCUCUCAGCAUCUCCAAUUUGAAUAUUAAGACCAUGGAUGGCGAUGGGUUUAGACAAGUCUCUCUUGAAAGGUUGAAAAUAUGUGAAUGCCCUAAGCUCCAGUCUUUCCCAUUUGAAAGGCUACCCUCUCUUUCUGAAGUUCGAAUCUUCAUAUGUCCUUUUCUAGGAGAUGGUGCCGGAGGGAUAAGAGAGAAGGUUCCCAAAUGAUACUAUUUCCACAUCACCAACGGUCUCAGUUCUAAUGUGCACGCUGUGCAGCAACCCAUCAAUGGGGAGGAAUUACUACACAUAUAACGAGAUGUCUGAAUAUUAUGUGCGAGAUUCUUGAGGAAUGUGCAAAUCUUGGAAUUUCUUUGGUUGAUCAUUGUCGAUUGCUACUUAUUGUUGCUAGAACGGUGAAGAGUUAGAGGAUGCUGGAAUUUGUUGUUGCUGCUGUCUUUUAUUUUGCCUGAACUGCAUAGUCAUUGACAUUGUAUAUGUCUUCAAGCACAUGUUGUAUACUAGUUUGAUAACAUUCUUG
Long non-coding RNA from Rosa chinensis, 2181 nucleotides. RefSeq lists it as uncharacterized. Lineage: Eukaryota; Viridiplantae; Streptophyta; Magnoliopsida; Rosales; Rosaceae. The transcript has 3 exons. The record is from RefSeq and is a predicted model, not a curated record.